RNAcentral lists this ribosomal RNA (253 nucleotides) under uncultured bacterium. RNAcentral's name for it is "partial 16S ribosomal RNA". It matches the Rfam family "Bacterial small subunit ribosomal RNA", at positions 524 to 776 of the family's 1533-position model. The record is from RNAcentral.
UACGAAGGGGGCUAGCGUUGUUCGGAUUUACUGGGCGUAAAGCGCACGUAGGCGGAUCGUUAAGUCGGGGGUGAAAUCCUGGAGCUCAACUCCAGAACUGCCUUCGAUACUGGCGAUCUUGAGUCCGGAAGAGGUGAGUGGAACUCCUAGUGUAGAGGUGGAAUUCGUAGAUAUUAGGAAGAACACCAGUGGCGAAGGCGGCUCACUGGUCCGGUACUGGCGCUGAGGUGCGAAAGCGUGGGGAGCAAACAGG